This 71-nucleotide transfer RNA is filed under the name Ptilocaulis walpersi. RNAcentral's name for it is "tRNA-Trp". It matches the Rfam family "tRNA". Rfam says of the family: Transfer RNA (tRNA) molecules are approximately 80 nucleotides in length. Their secondary structure includes four short double-helical elements and three loops (D, anti-codon, and T loops). The record is from RNAcentral. Lineage: Eukaryota; Metazoa; Porifera; Demospongiae; Axinellida; Axinellidae.
AAAAAAUUAGGUUAAAGGUAGACCAGAGGCCUUCAAAGUUUUUAGAGUUGGUUCAACUCCAACAUUUUUUG